CCCGAGUUCGAUAACCCUUUGAUUUAUCGAGACCUCUUCAUGCCUCGGGGGCGACCCGGCCUUCGGGUCGCGGUCCCCCCGGCGGUACAACCUUCAAACCCUGCAUCAAUUGUCGUCUGAGCGAAAAGUUAAUUCAAUUAAAACUUUCAACAACGGAUCUCUUGGUUCUGGCAUCGAUGAAGAACGCAGCGAAAUGCGAUAAGUAAUGUGAAUUGCAGAAUUCAGUGAAUCAUCGAAUCUUUGAACGCACAUUGCGCCCUUUGGCAUUCCGAAGGGCAUGCCUGUUCGAGCGUCAUUACACCAAUCAAGCCUGGCUUGGUAUUGGGCGACGGGGCCGCCAGUCGGCGCCCGCGCCUCAAUGACCUUUCGGCGGGACGGACUGUAUCUCAGCGUUGUGGUAAAAAGCCGCUGGCGAGACGGGACGACCGUGCCGGUAAACCUCAUUUUCUCAAGGUUGACCUCGGAUCAGGUAGGGAUACCCGCUGAACUUAAGCAUA
RNAcentral lists this unclassified non-coding RNA (497 nucleotides) under Neodevriesiaceae sp. 2 PMS-2014. Its description in RNAcentral is "sequence contains ITS1, 5.8S rRNA gene and ITS2". The stretch from base 142 to 295 matches the Rfam family "5.8S ribosomal RNA". The record is from RNAcentral. Lineage: Eukaryota; Fungi; Ascomycota; Dothideomycetes; Mycosphaerellales; Neodevriesiaceae.